This 497-nucleotide ribosomal RNA is filed under the name uncultured bacterium. RNAcentral describes it as "partial 16S ribosomal RNA". It matches the Rfam family "Bacterial small subunit ribosomal RNA", at positions 28 to 507 of the family's 1533-position model. The record is from RNAcentral.
GAUGAACGCUGGCGGCGUGCCUAAUACAUGCAAGUCGAGCGAACAGACGAGGAGCUUGCUCCUCUGAUGUUAGCGGCGGACGGGUGAGUAACACGUGGAUAACCUACCUAUAAGACUGGGAUAACUUCGGGAAACCGGAGCUAAUACCGGAUAAUAUAUUGAACCGCAUGGUUCAAUAGUGAAAGACGGUUUUGCUGUCACUUAUAGAUGGAUCCGCGCCGCAUUAGCUAGUUGGUAAGGUAACGGCUUACCAGGGCGACGAUGCGUAGCCGACCUGAGAGGGUGAUCGGCCACACUGGAACUGAGACACGGUCCAGACUCCUACGGGAGGCAGCAGUAGGGAAUCUUCCGCAAUGGGCGAAAGCCUGACGGAGCAACGCCGCGUGAGUGAUGAAGGUCUUCGGAUCGUAAAACUCUGUUAUUAGGGAAGAACAAAUGUGUAAGUAACUAUGCACGUCUUGACGGUACCUAAUCAGAAAGCCACGGCUAACUACGUG